RNAcentral lists this ribosomal RNA (463 nucleotides) under uncultured bacterium. Its description in RNAcentral is "partial 16S ribosomal RNA". It matches the Rfam family "Bacterial small subunit ribosomal RNA", at positions 28 to 507 of the family's 1533-position model. The record is from RNAcentral.
GAUGAACGCUGACAGAAUGCUUAACACAUGCAAGUCUUUGGCGAAGCUGUGCUUGCACAGCCUAGCCAAGGCGGACGGGUGAGUAACGCGUAAGGAACUUGCCCUGCAGUCAGGGAUAACAGACGGAAACGACUGAUAAGACCUGGUAAAGUCAGGCGGACUCAUGUCCAGCCUGAUGAAAAGAGAUGCUGCAGGAGAGCCUUGCGUCCUAUUAGCUUGUUGGUGGGGUAACGGCCCACCAAGGCGAUGAUAGGUAGCCGGCCUGAGAGGGUGGACGGCCACAAGGGGACUGAGAGACGGCCCUGACUCCUACGGGAGGCAGCAGUGGGGAAUAUUGGACAAUGGGGGCAACCCUGAUCCAGCAAUUCUGUGUGCACGAUGAAGGUUUUCGGAUUGUAAAGGGCUUUCAGCAGGGAAGAAAAAAAUGACGGUACCUGCAGAAGAAGCGACGGCUAAAUACGUG